UACGUAGGGGGCAAGCGUUUUCCGGAUUUACUGGGUGUAAAGGGAGCGUAGACGGCAUGGCAAGUCUGAAGUGAAAGCCCGCGGCUCAACUGCGGGACUGCUUUGGAAACUGUUAAGCUAGAGUGCAGGAGAGGUAAGUGGAAUUCCUAGUGUAGCGGUGAAAUGCGUAGAUAUUAGGAGGAACACCGGUGGCGAAGGCGGCUUACUGGACUGUAACUGACGUUGAGGCUCGAAAGUGCGGGUAUCAAAC
Molecule: ribosomal RNA, 250 nt
Filed under: uncultured prokaryote
Description: partial 16S ribosomal RNA
Rfam family: Bacterial small subunit ribosomal RNA
Source: RNAcentral